CAGGCCUAACACAUGCAAGUCGAACGGUAACAGGCCUUCGGGCGCUGACGAGUGGCGAACGGGUGAGUAACGCAUCGGAACGUGCCCAGUCGUGGGGGAUAACGCAGCGAAAGCUGUGCUAAUACCGCAUACGAUCUGCGGAUGAAAGCGGGGGACCUUCGGGCCUCGCGCGAUUGGAGCGGCCGAUGUCAGAUUAGGUAGUUGGUGGGGUAAAGGCCCACCAAGCCAACGAUCUGUAGCUGGUCUGAGAGGACGACCAGCCACACUGGGACUGAGACACGGCCCAGACUCCUACGGGAGGCAGCAGUGGGGAAUUUUGGACAAUGGGCGCAAGCCUGAUCCAGCAAUGCCGCGUGCAGGAAGAAGGCCUUCGGGUUGUAAACUGCUUUUGUACGGAACGAAAAAGUCCGGGUUAAUACCCCGGGCCCAUGACGGUACCGUAAGA
Molecule: ribosomal RNA, 445 nt
Filed under: uncultured bacterium
Lineage: Bacteria
Description: bacterial SSU rRNA
Rfam family: Bacterial small subunit ribosomal RNA
Source: RNAcentral